Lycium barbarum (goji berry) is the source of this 701-nucleotide long non-coding RNA. RefSeq lists it as uncharacterized. The transcript is spliced from 4 exons. The record is from RefSeq and is a predicted model, not a curated record. Lineage: Eukaryota; Viridiplantae; Streptophyta; Magnoliopsida; Solanales; Solanaceae.
AAAAUGUGCAUGGGGAGAAAUCUGAGAGGAUUUCUCAAAUAUCCUCUCAACGUAAUUAUUCUACUGCGGAAGAGUUGGCUUCUGGAACGGCUCAAGUUAAAACAAUCGGAAACUUGGUUGAGUGUCUUCAGGAAGGGAGCUUCUGGAUUGUUGCCACUAUAGUUUAUAUAGAACUUAAGAACGGUUGGUCGUAUCUGAGCUGCAUAAAAUGCGCCAAGAAGGUUUACAAAGUGGGAAGUAAAUUUAACUGCCCGAAGUGUAAAAGCAACGAAAAUUAAUAGUGGCUCUGUUUCUUUGUUAAUUUGGGAUCGCGAUGCGACAAAGCUCAUCGGUAAGACUGCUAAUGAAUUAAGAGCGGGAUUACUUGAGAAGUCUGGCGCUGCUGAUGCAUUUUCAUAUCCAUCGGAAAUGGAUAACAUUCUGGAUAGAAGGGUCAUAUUUAAAGUGGCUGUAAAGAGCGACAACAUAGAGAACCACGAUGAAGUUUAUGAUGUUAUUAAAUUCAGUGAAGAUGAGGAUCUCAUUAAGCAGUAUGGUUCUUCUCCAAGCGAAGAUGCAUUCUCUGAUCCGGAUUUCAACCAUGAAAAAGACUCAUCUGUAAAUAAUGAGCUCACGGUGAUAUGGACACUCACUUUUACAUCCUUUUAAAGAUUAUUUGAAAAAACUCAUAAAGAAACUUAUUUUUUUCUCGACCUUCAUAU